Molecule: ribosomal RNA, 406 nt
Filed under: uncultured bacterium
Lineage: Bacteria
Description: bacterial SSU rRNA
Rfam family: Bacterial small subunit ribosomal RNA
Source: RNAcentral
CCGUCGAUGCGAUUCUAGAGAUAGUUAAGUUCCUUCGGGACACGGGAUACAGGUGGUGCAUGGUUGUCGUCAGCUCGUGUCGUGAGAUGUUGGGUUAAGUCCCGCAACGAGCGCAACCCCUAUUGUUAGUUGCCAUCAUUAAGUUGGGCACUCUAGCGAGACUGCCGGUAAUAAACCGGAGGAAGGUGGGGAUGACGUCAAAUCAUCAUGCCCCUUAUGACCUGGGCUACACACGUGCUACAAUGGUUGGUACAACGAGUCGCAAGGCAGUGAUGUCAAGCUAAUCUCUUAAAGCCAAUCUCAGUUCGGAUUGUAGGCUGCAACUCGCCUACAUGAAGUCGGAAUCGCUAGUAAUCGCGGAUCAGCACGCCGCGGUGAAUACGUUCCCGGGUCUUGUACACACCGA